UAUGCAACUCUAGGCUUCGGAGCUUAGCAUAUUUCAUUCUGUUGCAAGUUGAAAUGUGUAGGUAUAUCUCCUUGGCCCAACUCAAAAGGUAGAUGUUUUCUGCCUUCUGCGAGUACAGACACUUGGCAGCCAGCUUUCUCUGAACGUUCGUCUGGAAAAGAAUCUCCGCUUGUUGCUGCAGACGUCAUACACGGUACGCUUGCAUGAUGGACGCCUCCGAGCCGGCCUAGAGAGAUUGUCGCGGGGGCUGUGGGGCCGCAGGGAGUUUAGGUGCCCGGCUCAGGUGCCACGAGGCUAUUCAGCCAGGUGCGAACCGACUGGCCUCUCCUCCGGCCCUGCGCCGCGGGCGCCCCCUGGAGGCGGUCGGGGGAGCGGGGAUCGGCGCGCCUCCCGCAGCCCAGGGGUCCCCGCCCCUCUUCUUUUCGGUGCCCCUCAGGAUCCCGCAGAGAUUCCCAGCAGCCUCUCAAAUCGCAAUAAAGUUUCCCUACUUCAAA
Herpailurus yagouaroundi (jaguarundi) is the source of this 494-nucleotide long non-coding RNA. RefSeq lists it as uncharacterized. The record is from RefSeq and is a predicted model, not a curated record. Lineage: Eukaryota; Metazoa; Chordata; Mammalia; Carnivora; Felidae. The transcript has 2 exons.